Molecule: long non-coding RNA, 1248 nt
Filed under: Piliocolobus tephrosceles (Ugandan red Colobus)
Lineage: Eukaryota; Metazoa; Chordata; Mammalia; Primates; Cercopithecidae
Description: lncRNA (ENSPTEG00000007904.1)
Source: RNAcentral
GUCAAUUGUUUAAAGAAUGACUACGCGAGUGUAAACUUUUUAAAUGAAUGUAAAAUCAGCGAAUCUUGUGAAUUUUUUGCAACAUUUUAUUUAGUGGAUUCUAUAUUAAAAAGUAGUAAUGACAGUAGUAAUAGCAAUGGCAAUAUAGGAGUAUUCAAAGAUAAUAUUUUGUUUUAUUCUUUUAAUUAUAUGAAUAAUUUGAUCCAAAAAUAUUAUAAUACGAGUUACUCGGAAGUAGAUAAAAUUAACAUUCGUAACAUGUUUAUUAAUAUAUUAUUUUCUUUACCAUUAAAUUUACAUCAUGAUAUAGAUGUGAAUGUAUUAAACAUAAAAGAAGAUUGUUUUCAAAUUUUAAAAAAUAAAUAUAUUCAAACAUUUAUGAAUCAAAAUAAUUUACUUAUGUCUGAUUUUUUGAAUAGCACAAACAAAUAUUUAAUUACUUCUUAUAUAACAGCUGUUAAAAAUAAGUAUGGACAAAUAUUAAGUUUAUUAUGUAUGACAAAUGAUUAUAUAUAUUUUCGAUAUUUAUAUAAUUUUUUAUUAUUUUUUUUGGUUGAAUAUUUAAAAAAGAAUAUACUGUUUGGUAGCUUGUUGGCGAAUUAUUGCGAUGGUAUUGGUAUUAAUGAUUUUACUUGCGAAUCUAAUUUGGUCUAUGUACAACAACAUAAUGAUAGUGUUGGUAUGUUUAUUCCGUUUAAUGAAAAUAGUAACAAGAAGCUUGAAUAUUUCAACAGCUUUCUUCAAAUAUGUAUAAGUUUUUUAAAAGAAAUAUUUUAUAUUAUAAGCAAUGAACAAAUAACACAUUUGAUGGAUAAGCAAAAAUUAAAUAUGCUACGAACAAUUAUAAUAAAUGACGUUCAAGUUUUAUUUCAAUUUUUUUUUUUUUCUUUUUAUUAUUGUAUAUAUUAUAAAAACAAAACAGAGUUUAAGUUAUUAAUUGAGGUGUUAAAUGAAUUAUCUUUUUUUUUUCCUUCUUAUAUAUUUUUUAAUGUUUUAAGUAUAACACCAAUAAAAUUUAUGUUAAAUUUGUUAUGUUUGUGUUUUAAGAAGAAUAUAUUUGGGAGUGUCCUUGAUUCUAGUAAUAGGAUAUGUAAUAAUGCUUUGGUUAGUAACUGUAUACAAAGCCAAGGUAUACAUAACAAUAAAGACAAUUUAAACCAUUAUAUUCAUUUGUACCAGCAAUAUUUGAACGAACAAUAUUUAUCUAUUUAUAAUUAUCCAAAUAUUCGUGCAUUAUUUACUGAAUCG